RNAcentral lists this ribosomal RNA (411 nucleotides) under Staphylococcus aureus. RNAcentral describes it as "bacterial SSU rRNA". It matches the Rfam family "Bacterial small subunit ribosomal RNA", at positions 76 to 472 of the family's 1533-position model. The record is from RNAcentral. Lineage: Bacteria; Bacillati; Bacillota; Bacilli; Caryophanales; Staphylococcaceae.
AAGCUUGCUUCUCUGAUGUUAGCGGCGGACGGGUGAGUAACACGUGGAUAACCUACCUAUAAGACUGGGAUAACUUCGGGAAACCGGAGCUAAUACCGGAUAAUAUUUUGAACCGCAUGGUUCAAAAGUGAAAGACGGUCUUGCUGUCACUUAUAGAUGGAUCCGCGCUGCAUUAGCUAGUUGGUAAGGUAACGGCUUACCAAGGCAACGAUGCAUAGCCGACCUGAGAGGGUGAUCGGCCACACUGGAACUGAGACACGGUCCAGACUCCUACGGGAGGCAGCAGUAGGGAAUCUUCCGCAAUGGGCGAAAGCCUGACGGAGCAACGCCGCGUGAGUGAUGAAGGUCUUCGGAUCGUAAAACUCUGUUAUUAGGGAAGAACAUAUGUGUAAGUAACUGUGCACAUCUUGA